UUAAGCGACUAAGCGUACACGGUGGAUGCCCUGGCAGUCAGAGGCGAUGAAGGACGUGCUAAUCUGCGAAAAGCGUCGGUAAGGUGAUAUGAACCGUUAUAGCCGGCGAUGUCCGAAUGGGGAAACCCAGUGCAAUUCGUUGCACUAUCGUUAACUGAAUACAUAGGUUAACGAGGCGAACCGGGGGAACUGAAACAUCUAAGUACCCCGAGGAAAAGAAAUCAACCGAGAUUCCCCCAGUAGCGGCGAGCGAACGGGGAGCAGCCCAGAGUCUGAAUCAGCUUGUGUGUUAGUGGAACGGUCUGGAAAGUCCGACGGUACAGGGUGAUAGUCCCGUACACCAAAAUGCACAGGCUGUGAACUCGAAGAGUAGGGCGGGACACGUGGUAUCCUGUCUGAAUAUGGGGGGACCAUCCUCCAAGGCUAAAUACUCCUGACUGACCGAUAGUGAACCAGUACCGUGAGGGAAAGGCGAAAAGAACCCCGGCGAGGGGAGUGAAAAAGAACCUGAAACCGUGUACGUACAAGCAGUGGGAGCACCUUCGGGUGUGACUGCGUACCUUUUGUAUAAUGGGUCAGCGACUUAUAUUCUGUAGCAAGGUUAACCGUAUAGGGGAGCCGCAGGGAAACCGAGUCUUAACUGGGCGUUAAGUUGCAGGGUAUAGACCCGAAACCCGGUGAUCUAGCCAUGGGCAGGUUGAAGGUUGGGUAACACUAACUGGAGGACCGAACCGACUAAUGUUGAAAAAUUAGCGGAUGACUUGUGGCUGGGGGUGAAAGGCCAAUCAAACCGGGAGAUAGCUGGUUCUCCCCGAAAGCUAUUUAGGUAGCGCCUCGUGAACUCAUCUUCGGGGGUAGAGCACUGUUUCGGCUAGGGGGUCAUCCCGACUUACCAACCCGAUGCAAACUACGAAUACCGAAGAAUGUUAUCACGGGAGACACACGGCGGGUGCUAACGUCCGUCGUGAAGAGGGAAACAACCCAGACCGCCAGCUAAGGUCCCAAAGUCAUGGUUAAGUGGGAAACGAUGUGGGAAGGCACAGACAGCCAGGAUGUUGGCUUAGAAGCAGCCAUCAUUUAAAGAAAGCGUAAUAGCUCACUGGUCGAGUCGGCCUGCGCGGAAGAUGUAACGGGGCUAAACCAUGCACCGAAGCUGCGGCAGCGACACUAUGUGUUGUUGGGUAGGGGAGCGUUCUGUAAGCCUGCGAAGGUGUGCUGUGAGGCAUGCUGGAGGUAUCAGAAGUGCGAAUGCUGACAUAAGUAACGAUAAAGCGGGUGAAAAGCCCGCUCGCCGGAAGACCAAGGGUUCCUGUCCAACGUUAAUCGGGGCAGGGUGAGUCGACCCCUAAGGCGAGGCCGAAAGGCGUAGUCGAUGGGAAACAGGUUAAUAUUCCUGUACUUGGUGUUACUGCGAAGGGGGGACGGAGAAGGCUAUGUUAGCCGGGCGACGGUUGUCCCGGUUUAAGCAUGUAGGCUGGUUGUCCAGGCAAAUCCGGAUAAUCAAGGCUGAGGUGUGAUGACGAGGCACUACGGUGCUGAAGUAACAAAUGCCCUGCUUCCAGGAAAAGCCUCUAAGCAUCAGGUAACAUUAAAUCGUACCCCAAACCGACACAGGUGGUCAGGUAGAGAAUACCAAGGCGCUUGAGAGAACUCGGGUGAAGGAACUAGGCAAAAUGGUGCCGUAACUUCGGGAGAAGGCACGCUGGUGUGUAGGUGAAGUCCCUGCGGAUGGAGCUGAGACCAGUCGAAGAUACCAGCUGGCUGCAACUGUUUAUUAAAAACACAGCACUGUGCAAACACGAAAGUGGACGUAUACGGUGUGACGCCUGCCCGGUGCCGGAAGGUUAAUUGAUGGGGUUAUCCGUAAGGAGAAGCUCUUGAUCGAAGCCCCGGUAAACGGCGGCCGUAACUAUAACGGUCCUAAGGUAGCGAAAUUCCUUGUCGGGUAAGUUCCGACCUGCACGAAUGGCGUAAUGAUGGCCAGGCUGUCUCCACCCGAGACUCAGUGAAAUUGAACUCGCUGUGAAGAUGCAGUGUACCCGCGGCAAGACGGAAAGACCCCGUGAACCUUUACUAUAGCUUGACACUGAACAUUGAGCCUUGAUGUGUAGGAUAGGUGGGAGGCUUUGAAGCGUGGACGCCAGUCUGCGUGGAGCCAACCUUGAAAUACCACCCUUUAAUGUUUGAUGUUCUAACGUUGGCCCCUUACCGGGGUUGCGGACAGUGUCUGGUGGGUAGUUUGACUGGGGCGGUCUCCUCCCAAAGCGUAACGGAGGAGCACGAAGGUUAGCUAAUCCUGGUCGGACAUCAGGAGGUUAGUGCAAUGGCAUAAGCUAGCUUGACUGCGAGCGUGACGGCGCGAGCAGGUGCGAAAGCAGGUCAUAGUGAUCCGGUGGUUCUGAAUGGAAGGGCCAUCGCUCAACGGAUAAAAGGUACUCCGGGGAUAACAGGCUGAUACCGCCCAAGAGUUCAUAUCGACGGCGGUGUUUGGCACCUCGAUGUCGGCUCAUCACAUCCUGGGGCUGAAGUAGGUCCCAAGGGUAUGGCUGUUCGCCAUUUAAAGUGGUACGCGAGCUGGGUUUAGAACGUCGUGAGACAGUUCGGUCCCUAUCUGCCGUGGGCGCUGGAGAAUUGAGGGGGGCUGCUCCUAGUACGAGAGGACCGGAGUGGACGCAUCACUGGUGUUCGGGUUGUCAUGCCAAUGGCACUGCCCGGUAGCUAAAUGCGGAAGAGAUAAGUGCUGAAAGCAUCUAAGCACGAAACUUGCCCCGAGAUGAGUUCUCCCUGAGACUUUAAGUCUCCUGAAGGAACGUUAAAGACGAUGACGUUGAUAGGCCGGGUGUGUAAGCGCAGCGAUGCGUUGAGCUAACCGGUACUAAUGAACCGUGAGGCUUAACCUU
This 2900-nucleotide ribosomal RNA is filed under the name Klebsiella pneumoniae. RNAcentral's name for it is "bacterial LSU rRNA". It matches the Rfam family "Bacterial large subunit ribosomal RNA". The record is from RNAcentral. Lineage: Bacteria; Pseudomonadati; Pseudomonadota; Gammaproteobacteria; Enterobacterales; Enterobacteriaceae. RNAcentral also lists the same sequence under 1 other name.